AAAUACGGUCUACGUGGCAGCCGGGGAGGUAGAGAGGACGUCGCUGGGGCGCCUCAGGGACUUUCCCUGUCCCGCUGGGAAAGCGUGAUCUCACCCGGUUCCUCCCUCCUCGCCGGACGCGGAAGGGGCGGGCGGAGGCCGUGCGCCUGGGGCUACAGGCGCGCCCUCCGCGCCCUGCCAUCCGCGGGCAUCGCCACCAGGCCAUCAGGCCACCAACAUCCGCCCCGAGGACCCGAGCAGUGCGGCCGGUCGCCCCCGCGACCCCAGGUCAGUUCUACAGCCCCCAGGGGUCCUGGUGCCCGUGAGCAGGGUGGAGACACCGGGCCUGCAGCGCAGCGGGGCGGCGUGCGGAACAUGACUUCAUCAUCCAGUGUUUCUCCCGCAGCCGCUGGA
Molecule: long non-coding RNA, 393 nt
Filed under: Bos mutus (wild yak)
Lineage: Eukaryota; Metazoa; Chordata; Mammalia; Artiodactyla; Bovidae
Description: lncRNA (ENSBMUG00000010288.1)
Source: RNAcentral